Molecule: non-coding RNA, 242 nt
Organism: Carica papaya (papaya)
Lineage: Eukaryota; Viridiplantae; Streptophyta; Magnoliopsida; Brassicales; Caricaceae
Source: RefSeq, a predicted model, not a curated record
UUCAAAAGAAAGUAUCAGAAAAAACAGAAGGUGAUAUCUGGAACCCAGACAAGACCUCCGUCUGAAUAAUCCUUUCUCUUGACGAAUCCUCAAGAUCUGCAGUUCCCCGCCUCUCAAAUCUCAACCUCUCUACUCAGAGAUCCAUUAUGGAUUUUAUGAAGGUCUUUGAUCAGACGGUCCGCGAAAUAAAGAGGGAGGUGAAUCUGAAGGUUUUGAAGGUUCCCGAGAUCGAGCAGAAGGUA